GAUGAACGCUAGCGACAGGCCUAACACAUGCAAGUCGAGGGGCAGCACAAGGAGCAAUCUGAGGUGGCGACCGGCGCACGGGUGAGUAACACGUAUGCAACCUACCUGUAAGAGGGGAAUAACCCGUUAGAAAAACGGACUAAUACCGCAUAACACUGUAGAACCGCAUGGUUUGACAGUUAAACAUUUAUGGCUUACAGAUGGGCAUGCGCAUGAUUAGCUAGUUGGUGAGGUAACGGCUCACCAAGGCAACGAUCAUUAGGGGUUCUGAGAGGAAGGUCCCCCACACUGGUACCGAGACACGGACCAGACUCCUACGGGAGGCAGCAGUGAGGAAUAUUGGUCAAUGGGCGAGAGCCUGAACCAGCCAAGUCGCGUGAAGGAUGAAGGUUUUAUGAAUUGUAAACUUCUUUUGCAGGGGAAUAAAGUGUCCGACGUGUCGGAUUUUGUAUGUACUCUGCGAAUAAGGAUCGGCUAACUCCGUG
RNAcentral lists this ribosomal RNA (485 nucleotides) under uncultured bacterium. RNAcentral's name for it is "bacterial SSU rRNA". It matches the Rfam family "Bacterial small subunit ribosomal RNA", at positions 28 to 507 of the family's 1533-position model. The record is from RNAcentral.